RNAcentral lists this ribosomal RNA (489 nucleotides) under uncultured bacterium. RNAcentral's name for it is "bacterial SSU rRNA". It matches the Rfam family "Bacterial small subunit ribosomal RNA", at positions 28 to 509 of the family's 1533-position model. The record is from RNAcentral.
GAUGAACGCUAGCGAUAGGCUUAACACAUGCAAGUCGAGGGGCAGCACGGUGUAGCAAUACACUGGUGGCGACCGGCGUACGGGUGCGUAACACGUAUGCAACCUACCCGCUAUUGGGGGAUAACCCGGCGAAAGUCGGACUAAUAUCCCAUAUUAUUCUUACCGGGCAUCCGGUGAGUCUGAAAGAUUUAUCGAUUGCGGAUGGGCAUGCGGAUGAUUAGCUAGUAGGUGGGGUAACGGCUCACCUAGGCGACGAUCAUUAGGGGUUCUGAGAGGAACGGUCCCCCACACUGGAACUGAGACACGGUCCAGACUCCUACGGGAGGCAGCAGUGAGGAAUAUUGGUCAAUGGGCGCUAGCCUGAACCAGCCAAGUCGCGUGAAGGAUGACAGAUCUAUGGUUUGUAAACUUCUUUUGCAGGGGAGUAAAGUGCGACACGUGUGUUGUAUUGCAAGUACCCUGCGAAUAAGCAUCGGCUAACUCCGUGCC